RNAcentral lists this non-coding RNA (29 nucleotides) under Rattus norvegicus (Norway rat). The record is from RNAcentral. Lineage: Eukaryota; Metazoa; Chordata; Mammalia; Rodentia; Muridae.
UUCCAUUCUUUUGGUGAACAUAUAAAGUU